GAUGUUGAGAGUCAAAUUUGACCCUAUACAUCUGUGAUUCUUCCCAUUUUCUUCAUUCCUCUCUCUCUCACUUACAUCUUUGUCUUCUCUAUUACUCAUUUUCCUCUGCAGAAAGUUGUUGCACAUUAUGUACCCCAAAUUUGUCUACCCUUGUCCUUGUGGGUUGCACCUCCAAGAUUCAUUAACUCUGGAGAUCUUUGGGAGCGACUUAACAAAAACUCUUCCUGAAGAAAGUUGAUUAUCUUACCUUGAUGAUUCGAGGGCCACCAUUCAAGACUUGGGUUACCAUGUUGGCUAUUAUUGUCUUCCACACUAAAGAUAUAAGGUUGUUUUACUUUUUCUCCGAAUUGAAUAGUAAGACGGCAAAUAUUUUUCUGCUGUUUGACCUCAGUUCCGAUCUGGUAUGUCUUGGAUGGCGGUGUAGAAUGACUACAAAUUAAGAGUUCUUGAAGCUAAAAAGCAAAAACAACUUAUUGCUUUACAACUUUCAACAUGGAGGAGAAACGCAUAAUCUUCUUUUGAGAAGUAAUGUUUAUAGUUUGUGGAGUAACACUUGGCUAGAGAGAAUAGGUUGUCAACUAUUAUAUAUGUAUACUCUAUAUUAUGACAGUCUGCUACACAUCAAUCAUUUUAUAUACAUGCGCGCUGUAAUA
This is a long non-coding RNA of Nicotiana attenuata, 653 nucleotides long. RefSeq lists it as uncharacterized. NCBI's taxonomy places the organism in Eukaryota, Viridiplantae, Streptophyta, Magnoliopsida, Solanales, Solanaceae. The record is from RefSeq and is a predicted model, not a curated record. The transcript has 4 exons.